CUAACCCCUUCAUUGAAGCCCUCAAAUGAAUCCUUUUCUUCUCCUUCCCAUUGGAUGAAAUUUUCAGAAAAUCCUUCAAAAAUCAAAUGAGAUUUAACUUCUCUAAUUGCUCUGUAGGACAUUCCACGGCAUCUCGUACAUGGACAGGCUGCCGUUUCUCCUUAAGAUGUGCCAGACAACAUGCUUCACAACAUUUUCGAUCAAAGUGACACACAAAGUGAUCAAUUGCCUGCAUAUACAUCAAAGAAAAGUUCUCAAGCUUAUUUGACACAAUGCACACAAGUAUACCUAGAUUACCAGCAGAUAUAAUUUAGUUCGUAAUCUAAACUCACAUGCACAUGACGAAGAAUGAC
RNAcentral lists this long non-coding RNA (353 nucleotides) under Setaria italica (foxtail millet). Its description in RNAcentral is "long non-coding RNA (SITA_LNC000349)". Lineage: Eukaryota; Viridiplantae; Streptophyta; Magnoliopsida; Poales; Poaceae. The record is from RNAcentral.